AUUCUUUCUGGGUCAGUCUAUGGAGGGUGCAACCAAUUCUGACCUGCAGGUGACCUGCAGGAAACUCUGGUUUGAUUUGGGUUACCUGAAGUUUUCUUGACUUCCUUUAAUGGAAAUAUGUACACUCUCCUUUUUCCUCCAGGUGCUACCAACUUUUGUUGUUGUUGUUUUAUGCUGGCCAGUUUCAUAUUUUAUUUUAUUUUGUUAUGCUGGGGAUCAAACUCAGGACCUUGUGCAUACAAGGCAAGCACUCUACCAACUAAGCUCUAUCCCCAGACUGAGUUUCAUAUUUUAAUGCUGUUACCAUAGGUAUGUCCAUUUGCAAUAUCACAUCUUACCUUCUCAUAUGAUUCAUAUUGAGAUUACAGAACCCUAGAUUCAGUGACUUCCCCUCAAACAUUGACACAAGUGUCUGCUGACUUCUGGCACUCCUUCACUAUUGCUAAUGAGCAACCAGAAGCUGCAGUCAGUCUGAGUUUCCUUUUGUAAGUAAUGUGAAUUUCACUCUCUGGUAGCUUUCCACUAUCCCUCUGGUAAUCUUUAUCCUUGGUGAGAAAAAACUCAAGAAGUUCUCUCUUUGUGUCUGUCCUUUUUCAUUAUCAAAUCAGCAUAGUUUAAUCUAAAGAUUAAACUUUAAUCUAAAGAUUAAACUAACUUUCUUCAGAUCCAGAACAUUCUACUGUAUUUUGUUAGUUUUUCCCUCAAUUCCCUGGGUCCUUGGAUCUUUGCACUGCAUUCCUACUGACUUAUUUAUUGACAUAGUCUCUCAUCACAUAUUUUGAAUUUCUUUAUCUUUUGUACAAAAGUUGAAAGAUUUGACUAUUUCUUCAAUCUCUUCAGUGAAAUUUUACUUUUUUUAAUUUCUGAAGCGUACUUUAUUAAAAAUCCCAAAAUUUCAAAUGGAAAUUUCUCCAUAUUCACAUAGAAGGGGCUUAGGUGUUAUCACUUCUUUCCACAUGAUAUGAAACAAAACUGAAAUAAUGUGAAAACCCAUGACUCUUCUUGGUUCCAUCAGAGAACUGAGGUCACAAGGCAAAUUAGAGACCCAAAAAAUGAUGACAGAGAGGUAGACUUGAGCAAUCCCAACUUACUAUGGGUAAGAUAACUUCUAAACUAGAACUGAGGUGGGAAACCUGAGCUACAAUUGAUGAAUUUCUGGAAGCUUAUUGUGAAUGAGUAUGAGAAACAGAAGCUCCAUGGAUGGAAUCAGUAAAGAUUAGAGAACAUAUCCCACCCAACACUAUGUCUGGAAAGGCGGGGGGGGGGUGCCAUUUUGAAAUAUGCUGGAGGAUCCUGUUCUUCACAAUGAUGCUCUCAGAAAAAACCUGUUUGAGCAGAGCAUAAACUACUAGUGUUUUAGCAGGGACCAAACUACCUGGGAGAAGAAAAAUACUCAACUCCAGCUUCUUCUAACUUUGCUGUCUAACACAAGGGGUAGAGAGACUUAGAAUCAUUUUUGAAGGACACAGCCCAGGGACACAAGCUCACUAAAAACUAAGACCCAAUCAUAGGACUAUAGGACUACAGAACAUGUCUCUUCCCCUGCUACCUUACCACUACAUCAACAGAGCUCUUGUAUGAUAACAGAAAGAUAAAACAAAAAGAAUGGGGAGUCUCAGAUACGAUUUUUUUUUAUUGGUUGUUCAAAACAUUACAAAGCUCAUGAUAUAUCAUCUUUCAUACAUUUGACUCAGUUGGGUUAUGAACUCCCAUUUUUACCCCAAAUACAAAUUGCAGAAUCACAUCGGUUACACACUCACAUUUUUACAUAAUGGCAUAUUAGUGACUGUUGUAUUCUGCUACCUUUCCUUUCCCCUACUAUCCCCCCUCCCCUCCCUCAGAUAUGAUUUAAUAAGUAGUCUUGCAGAAAACUCAAAGACAGCAAGGAGACAAAAACAAGGGCACCAGAGGAAAUUUAAGCCUCUGAUGCAAGUAGAGCAAAUGGUAAAGACAGACUAAACCCUGGCCAGAGAAGCAAAACCUUCACCGCAAGGACCUGCUUUGUUUAAUUUCUUUCACUCAGAACAUCAGGUACAAGGAAGGUUAAACGAUAAAAGAACGGUUUGAGGAGACAGAGCAAACAUCAGAACAAGUUAGAGAAAUGGCAGAGAGAUUUAAAAUUUCAGAACAGAAAUUUAAUAACUCUGACUAAUAUGUAAAGAAAUCGAAAUGAAAGAGUUGGUAAAACAGGUAGUAAAAGAUGGAUAUUAUAAGAAAGAAAGAGAAGAAAAUGCUAGAAUUGAAAGUUACCAUAACAAGAAAGAAGAGUGUCAUGGAUAGACUUUUAAAUACACUGGAUAUAACUAAGAAAAGUAUUAGUGAACUUGACAAAAUAUCAAAAGUUAACAUUAAAUUAAAUUUUCUUCUUUACUUUUUAUUGUUUCUUUUUAGUCAUACAUAAGAAUAGAUUUUGACAUAAUUAUAAAAGCAUGGAGUAUAAUUUGUUUUAAUUCAUUCCCCAGUACUUCCUAUUCCUCUCCCCUCCUUCUUCUCCCUAUUCUCUUCCCUCUAUUCUACUGAUGUUUCUGCUAUUUACUUAUAGUUGUUUUAUUAGUGUCUUAUGCAUGCACUUGAUGGUGAGAUUUACUAUGGUAUAUUCACAUAUAUACAUAGGAAAGUUAGGUGAAGAAAACAAUGGAAAAAAAAUCACAGAAUAACCAAGAACUGUGUAACACUUCCAAAAAUAUAUAACAUAUGCAUAAUGAAAAUUCCAGAAGCACAAAAAUAAACAAUCAAAGCAAGGAAUAGAAGAAAUAUUUGAAACAAUAAUGACUGAGAAUUUUUCAACAUUAAUGAUAGAUACAAAACCACAGAUCCAGGAAGCUCAGAGAAUCAUAAUCAGCAUACAUAUACUAUUAGGUGUAUUAAAUUCAAACUGCAGAAAAAUUUGAAAGCCGGAAAACUUGUCUAUACAGGAACAAGUGUAAGAAGUACUUUGGAUUUUUUUAAGACCAGGCAAGCAAGAAGAAAGUGGAAUGAACUUUUUUAAAAUGAUGAAAGAAAAUAUCCAACAACUUAGAAUUCUAUAUUCAGUGAAAUUAUAUUUUAAAAGUUAAGGGAAAAUGAAGAAUUUCUCAGAAAAAUGAAAAUUUA
This 3093-nucleotide long non-coding RNA is filed under the name Marmota monax (woodchuck). Lineage: Eukaryota; Metazoa; Chordata; Mammalia; Rodentia; Sciuridae. The record is from RNAcentral.